AGGGUUCGAUUCUGGCUCAGGAUGAACGCUAGCUACAGGCUUAACACAUGCAAGUCGAGGGGCAGCAUGAACUUAGCUUGCUAAGUUUGAUGGCGACCGGCGCACGGGUGAGUAACACGUAUCCAACCUUCCGUUUACUCAGGGAUAGCCUUUCGAAAGAAAGAUUAAUACCUGAUAGUAUGGUGAGAUUGCAUGAUAGCACCAUUAAAGAUUUAUUGGUAAACGAUGGGGAUGCGUUCCAUUAGGUAGUAGGCGGGGUAACGGCCCACCUAGCCGACGAUGGAUAGGGGUUCUGAGAGGAAGGUCCCCCACAUUGGAACUGAGACACGGUCCAA
Molecule: ribosomal RNA, 335 nt
Filed under: uncultured bacterium
Lineage: Bacteria
Description: bacterial SSU rRNA
Rfam family: Bacterial small subunit ribosomal RNA
Source: RNAcentral